GACGAACGCUGGCGGCGUGCUUAACACAUGCAAGUCGAACGAUGAAGCCUAGCUUGCUAGGUGGAUUAGUGGCGAACGGGUGAGUAAUACGUGAGUAACCUACCUUUAACUCUGGGAUAAGCCUGGGAAACUGGGUCUAAUACCGGAUACGACCAAUCUCCGCAUGGGGUGUUGGUGGAAAGCGUUAUGUAGUGGUUAUAGAUGGGCUCACGGCCUAUCAGCUUGUUGGUGAGGUAACGGCUCACCAAGGCGACGACGGGUAGCCGGCCUGAGAGGGUGACCGGCCACACUGGGACUGAGACACGGCCCAGACUCCUACGGGAGGCAGCAGUGGGGAAUAUUGCACAAUGGGCGCAAACCUGAUGCAGCGACGCCGCGUGAGGGAUGACGGCCUUCGGGUUGUAAACCUCUGUUAGCAGGGAAGAAGAGAAAUUGACGGUACCUGCAGAGAAAGCGCCGGCUAACUACGUG
This 471-nucleotide ribosomal RNA is filed under the name uncultured bacterium. RNAcentral describes it as "partial 16S ribosomal RNA". It matches the Rfam family "Bacterial small subunit ribosomal RNA", at positions 28 to 507 of the family's 1533-position model. The record is from RNAcentral.